This 433-nucleotide ribosomal RNA is filed under the name uncultured bacterium. RNAcentral describes it as "partial 16S ribosomal RNA". It matches the Rfam family "Bacterial small subunit ribosomal RNA", at positions 29 to 507 of the family's 1533-position model. The record is from RNAcentral.
AACGAACGCUGGCGGCAUGCCUAACACAUGCGAGUCGAACGAGACCUUCGGGUCUAGUGGCGCACGGGUGCGUAACGCGUGGGAACCUGCCCUUAGGUUCGGAAUAACUCCCCGAAAGGGGUGCUAAUACCGGAUAAUGUCUUCGGACCAAAGAUUUAUCGCCUUUGGAUGGGCCCGCGUUGGAUUAGCUAGUUGGUAGGGUAAAAGCCUACCAAGGCGACGAUCCAUAGCUGGUCUGAGGGGAUGAUCAGCCACACUGGGACUGAGACACGGCCCAGACUCCUACGGGAGGCAGCAGUGGGGAAUAUUGGACAAUGGGCGAAAGCCUGAUCCAGCAAUGCCGCGUGAGUGAUGAAGGCCUUAGGGUUGUAAAGCUCUUUUACCCGGGAUGAUAAUGACAGUACCGGGAGAAUAAGCUCCGGCUAACUCCGUG